AAUUCUCAACCACACUUAGUUGUGUAAAAACAGCUCGUGUGGGCUUGGAUUUGGGACUGCUGCUGGUCUUCUAAAGGGUCAGCUGUCCUGAAAUUUAUUAGCGAGGUUUUUGUUGCUAGUCUCCAGUGUGAUAACUAUCUACGCUGAUGAGUGGCUUCAAUUACAAGGCCUGGCUUCUAAUCGUCCUUAGGGACAACUCUGACA
RNAcentral lists this unclassified non-coding RNA (204 nucleotides) under uncultured Agaricales. RNAcentral's name for it is "sequence contains ITS2". The record is from RNAcentral. Lineage: Eukaryota; Fungi; Basidiomycota; Agaricomycetes; Agaricales.